This 74-nucleotide transfer RNA is filed under the name Deltaproteobacteria bacterium. Its description in RNAcentral is "tRNA-Gln". It matches the Rfam family "tRNA". From Rfam's summary of the family: Transfer RNA (tRNA) molecules are approximately 80 nucleotides in length. Their secondary structure includes four short double-helical elements and three loops (D, anti-codon, and T loops). Lineage: Bacteria; Pseudomonadati; Myxococcota; Myxococcia. The record is from RNAcentral.
UGGGGCGUCGUCAAGGGGCAUGACACCGGGUUUUGGUCCCGGGAUCCUAGGUUCGAAUCCUAGCGCCCCAGCCA